ACAGUGCAUAAUUGAGUUCUUACUUUAGACCUAAUUGGGGGCCGAUUUAGCUGUAGGGAAAGGGUACCACUUGGGUUUGAGUAAAGGCAUAGGUUGUUGACAGUAUUGUAGUGUACAUAAAAUAUCGUUGGAAAUAGAAAAGGUGUUGAAAACGUUGAAGCCCACUCUAGAAUUGAAUGAAGGCAGAGAGGGUAAGGAGUGGAAGAGACGGGGUGAGAAGCUGUACAGAGAAUGGAUAGAAGGCGGGGCCAUUGCAUCUCCUACUGGUCUGCUUACUGUGGUGAAUGAAGAUUUGUGUGUGUAUGGUGUAAAUUGAAGCUUACUGGCGUGAAUGAAGAUUUGGUAGAAUCAAAUCGUGUGCAUGAAAUACGCUUGAUAUUCAGUCGGGGACUAAUAUCGGUAUGAAUGAGGUCGGGGACCUUCAGAUGAGAUGUCUGAGUUGUAUUAAUUUGAGCCUGCCAAGCGAGUGUGGUACAUUAGGUAUUUCAGUUGGAGCUGGUACCGGUGAGAAUGUUUAAAAAGUCGCGGGCUUGCUGAUGAGAUGUUUGCACAGAGUUAUAUCAUAGAAUAUUGAGGGGGUGUGCAUGACUGUUGGAAAAAGUGUUAAACUCUAUUAACGUAAAAUUCUGUGUGUAGAUUUAUAUAAUGAGGUUUGAACUAUACUAAUAUUGUAGAAUUACAUAAUCAACAUCUGAACAUACUUACGUUAAACAUUAAUUGAGCCACUGAGUAAUAGAUAAGAUAUACACUAGGUACGGGAGACGGGGCAACGGGUGCGGUCGACGUAAGACGGGAGUGGUGUUCUAACCAAGUGCUGAGAAAUAAGGUAGAUUUAUUUUGUUCUUUUAAUUAAUUUACACAAGUACUUCCCGGUUAUUGAUUUUGGUUUGAUUGUUCAGACCACUGAAAUUAAACAGGAGGUUAAGGUAUACUAACAUUAGAAUCUGUUUUCAUUAUGGGGAACAAUGAAAGGCCCGCAGAGUGGAUUGCAGGCUGAGUUUAUUUUAUGUUAAAGGUACAGUGUAUGUUUAUCACAGUUGUGUGUGUGUCUAAUGGCAGGGUAUUUAAGAAGUAUUUUGGGGAGACAAUUUGGAGAAAAACGAAUGUAAGACAUGAAACAUCGAGACAAAUUAUUUGAGUUUGAGGGGAUUAUCAUAAUUAUUAGGUUUUGUUUUUGUAGUAAACGUUUUGAGUUUAAGGGGAUUUCCAUGUUCCCAGAGACAAUAUAUCUUAAAGGUGUACACUCACAUGAAAUAUUAGAAGUUUUUAUUUUCUGAGUCUUAAUUAAAUAGGUGAAAUCCUUUGAUAAAGGAAUGUUGUUUAAUAUAGUAAGAAACACUUCUUUUGAGGGGUGGUAUGACUUAUGACCUCCAUUGUAACUUUCCUUUGUGGUCUGAUCAGCCUCUUUGGAAAGACAUUUGGAUGGAGAAUCUAAGGUCAUUUGUAAUACUGAUAUUAAGGUAAUUUAAUACAAAAAGGCAGUGAAAUUUACAUUAUAGUGUCAUUAUAUUUUCUCUGAUGAACGUGGUGUGAAAAUGAGCUAGGAUAAGUUUUAAUUAUGGUAGACUCAUGUUAAGUAUUUGGGACAUAUUUGAGCCAACAGGGCAGGGAAGAAAUUGAGAUAUUUGUGUUUGGUUUAAACACCUGUGUACAGGAGUGCCAGUGUACCUGUGUAAUGGGGGAGGGUGUCCGUAUGGGAAUUACAUGAUAACCAACUUGGGACAGUUCUGGGAUUGGAGAAGAGGGUAUCCUUAUAGCAUAGGGGAUCCCACAAAGGUGGAUAGGUUUUCCAUGAUAUGGGGAAAACCUGGGAGCACUGUUGAACUUUGUAAAGGUGAUGAAAUCCUACUAACCAUCAAAACUAUUAAGUUCUCUGAUGCAGGCACUUACACCCUCGGACUACAAAGGACCGGGACAGACACGAUGGGUGUGUUUUCUAUUAAGGUGCUGCCAAAACCACAGAGGUCCCAGACGAACCAGAGCCAGACACACUCAUCUACCACCCCUGGACCGAACCUGCCACCUACCACCACUGUGUCAAAUCUCAUUCAGGUAAUUAACAUUAGAGACUAUUCAGCUAUUGAUCAAUUAGGCACUGAGACUGGUUUUGAUGGUAGGGACCAUUUGUGGCUGUCUUAUAUUAGGUAUACAGCUAAAACCCUGAGAAGAAAGGACUGCAUUGUAUGUAGUCAUGCUAGACCUGUUCUGGCUACACACCCAUUUGCUAUAGGAGAAGGAGAGGGGUGGUUGUGUAUUCUGAGAGGUUUUUACCAGGUUCAGCCUAAUUCAACUCUGUUCCUCUUUGAGCCUUGUGUUUCCUACAGUACCUCCUCAUCGGGCCCCUUGGGGUGUUAAGGCAUAUGGGGGCAAUUACAGUUGCAUCACGGGUACAGGUAAUGGCAUUGAUUAUGGGAGAUUGCCUGAAGCUGAUUGCAGUAGUAACAUAACCAUUAAUUCCACUUGGCCAGUUACAGGCCUAAACCAAACUAGUGGUCUGGCUGAUGUGUGUUGGAUCUGUGGACCCAAAAGAGUGCUGAGACCCAUUCUUAGAGGAGACUGGCAAGGUACGUGUGCUCUGACCAGGUUGAUAAUUCCACUGACCAUUGUUGAUGUUACUGCUGAACAGCUGUUGGGUUCUGUAUCCAGGGGACCUGAAAACAUUCCAUCCUAUGGGAGACAUAGACGUAGUGCUCCAUGGACAGAGGAUGUAGUUGACAUACACACUAACCUGUUGGGAGUGCCAGUGGGGGUUCCUCAUGAGUUUCAGGCCUUGUGUAGGAAUGAUGGACUCUGGCACUUACUACCUAUUAUAGGUCCAGCCAUAGUGGAUGCAAGACAGACUGCAUGGAUUAAUUAUAUCUACUAUAAUCAACAGCGUUUUGUGAAUUACUCCCGUGAUGCACUCACUGGUCUGUCUGAACAGAUUGAGGCCACAUCUAGGGUUGCCAGACAGAAUAGACUUGCUUUGGAUAUGCUUCUUGCCAGUCAGGGGGUUGUCUGCAAGAUGUUCGGUGAACAAUGUUGCACGUUUAUUCCUAAUAAUACCAGUCCAGAUGGUAGUAUAUCUAAGGCCCUUAGUGGGCUUGAUGCACUAUCUGCUGAGAUGAGGACCAUGGCGGGGGUGGAGGAGUCGACUGUUCUCUUGGUUGGGAGCCUGGUUUGGUAAGUACACUGGUAUGGUGGUUACUGGAUUUCUGACCCUAAUUCUUGUAUUUUUAUUAUUGAUGUGUUGUGCUGCUUGCAUCAUACCGUGUUUUAAGAAGUCUGUUACAGAUGUGGUGAAGGCUUCAGGCAUGAUGCCUUUGCUUGAUGCUCCAGUUGGAGAUGCUGAUACUGAAGCAUGCUUUCAGGGGAGGAUGAGACUGACUGAGGAUGACCCAUGGUUCGGAGUUCCUGGGUGGCAUGGUGCCCACCUGGUGCAGGAUAGGAGUAGCUGAGAGGACCAGAUGGUUUAUAAUAAUGCUUUGCUCUGCUUUACUCUGUUUUCCAUGACUAAAGUUUUAUCCUACAUCUUACAUGUCAAUAAACAAUAAAGUUUUAUCCUGUCUUUGUCAAAAGGGGGAGACAAAAGCAUAUAUCACUUGUUGAUUUUUAUUUUUUCUUGGAUGAUUUUUAUUUUCUGUUUUUCUGUAAAAAAAUUAAAUAAUAAUAAUAAUAAUGUUUUAUUAAUUUUAAACGUUUUAUUAUUUUCAUGAAAUGCUAUUAACAUAUUACUAUGUUGGGACCGCUGAAAUAAAGGAUAAUGAGUGGGAGACUUAAGGGAGACUUAAAUUUAACACCAUUUUCUUUUAUUCUGUUUUUAAAUGAGCUGUUGUUCUCUUUUGACAUGAGGGUUUUAAGUUCCUAGGUGGCUGGUAGCCAAUCUAGUACAUAGUGGGAUCGAAUGGAGGACAUGAAGGUAUUUUAAACUUUGUAACUGUUAUAUGAUUCAUUGCUGAAUUUUUUGUUCACACCCUUGGGGGUUGGUUGGUUUAUUACUUAGCUAAUAAAAAUGACAUAGUAUAAAA
Oncorhynchus nerka (sockeye salmon) is the source of this 4007-nucleotide long non-coding RNA. RefSeq lists it as uncharacterized. NCBI's taxonomy places the organism in Eukaryota, Metazoa, Chordata, Actinopteri, Salmoniformes, Salmonidae. The transcript is spliced from 2 exons. The record is from RefSeq and is a predicted model, not a curated record.